RNAcentral lists this non-coding RNA (28 nucleotides) under Mus musculus (house mouse). The record is from RNAcentral. Lineage: Eukaryota; Metazoa; Chordata; Mammalia; Rodentia; Muridae.
GGAAGUUAUGUGUUGGUGCUGUGUCUCC